RNAcentral lists this ribosomal RNA (429 nucleotides) under Pseudomonadota bacterium. RNAcentral's name for it is "Proteobacteria bacterium partial 16S ribosomal RNA". It matches the Rfam family "Bacterial small subunit ribosomal RNA", at positions 355 to 776 of the family's 1533-position model. Lineage: Bacteria; Pseudomonadati; Pseudomonadota. The record is from RNAcentral.
UGGGGAAUAUUGGACAAUGGGCGAAAGCCUGAUCCAGCCAUGCCGCGUGUGUGAAGAAGGUCUUCGGAUUGUAAAGCACUUUAAGUUGGGAGGAAGGGCAGUAAGCGAAUACCUUGCUGUUUUGACGUUACCGACAGAAUAAGCACCGGCUAACUCUGUGCCAGCAGCCGCGGUAAUACAGAGGGUGCAAGCGUUAAUCGGAAUUACUGGGCGUAAAGCGCGCGUAGGUGGUUCGUUAAGUUGAAUGUGAAAGCCCCGGGCUCAACCUGGGAACUGCAUCCAAAACUGGCGAGCUAGAGUAGGGCAGAGGGUGGUGGAAUUUCCUGUGUAGCGGUGAAAUGCGUAGAUAUAGGAAGGAACACCAGUGGCGAAGGCGACCACCUGGGCUCAUACUGACACUGAGGUGCGAAGGCGUGGGGAGCAAACAGG